UAACUUUCAACAACGGAUCUCUAGGCUCUUGCAUCGAUGAAGAACGCAGUGAAAUGCGAUAGGUAAUGUGAAUUGCAGAAUUCCGUGAAUCAUCAAAUCUUUGAACGCAAAUUGCACUCUCUGGUAUUCCGGGGAGUAUGCUUGCUUGAGGGUUAGUU
This 158-nucleotide ribosomal RNA is filed under the name Acaulospora lacunosa. RNAcentral's name for it is "5.8S ribosomal RNA". It matches the Rfam family "5.8S ribosomal RNA". Rfam says of the family: 5.8S ribosomal RNA (5.8S rRNA) is a component of the large subunit of the eukaryotic ribosome. The record is from RNAcentral. Lineage: Eukaryota; Fungi; Glomeromycota; Glomeromycetes; Diversisporales; Acaulosporaceae.